RNAcentral lists this long non-coding RNA (289 nucleotides) under Mustela putorius furo (domestic ferret). Its description in RNAcentral is "lncRNA (ENSMPUG00000026532.1)". Lineage: Eukaryota; Metazoa; Chordata; Mammalia; Carnivora; Mustelidae. The record is from RNAcentral.
GCCAGAUGUGCAUCUAAACACUGCCCCACCCACUUCAUCCAUUAUAUAAAAAAAAAAAAGACACACGUCUGGACAGCUAUACAACAUGUUCUUUUUCCUUCUGCUAUUAGAUAAGGUCAUGAUUCAGACCUAUCUGGGCAUGCCUGGAGUCCGGUUGGGAUAGGCCUUCUGGAAUUCUAUUGAUAAGACAAGUCGUCUCCAGGAGUUAGUCCCAGUGGAAGAAAGAACCAAGGUACAAAGGUUGCAUGAAGGGCAACAGAUGGGGUUGAAAGUAUCUGAGUAUAUCAUG